RNAcentral lists this non-coding RNA (45 nucleotides) under Schistosoma margrebowiei. Lineage: Eukaryota; Metazoa; Platyhelminthes; Trematoda; Strigeidida; Schistosomatidae. The record is from RNAcentral.
ACACUGCUGAGGAGUCCCAUACCAGGACGAAACGGCCGUCCAGUU